Non-coding RNA from Cyanistes caeruleus (blue tit), 791 nucleotides. Lineage: Eukaryota; Metazoa; Chordata; Aves; Passeriformes; Paridae. The record is from RefSeq and is a predicted model, not a curated record.
CUUGAGCGCCGUGGCCUCAGCCUUCCUCAGCUGGCCCUGCAGCUCGUAGUAGAGCAUCGCCCCGUACAGGAACCCGAACACCACGGAUAAUCUCCAGUGAUUACUUUUUCCUGGUGCAUUUCCUGUUGGGCUGUCCAGACUGGAGGCUGUGGCAGAUGCAGGAGUAAAUAGAGACUGAAAGAAUGGAUAAAUCUGCUGCAGCAAAGCAAUAGAGCUUUUGAGUUCAUGUAGCACAUGUAGAAGAAACCUACUGUUAGGAAGAGCUGAUGAUUCGUCUCCAGUUUCAUAUGGCAGAAAUCUCCAAAUCUAAAGAGCCCCUCCAGAAGUGGCCAACAAGGCUGAUACCACUGAAGAGGAUGAUGAGGGAAGCAGAGAAACAAAAGGAAGAGGCAAAGAGGCUGAUUGAUGAUCCCCAUCUCAUCAGUAGCCUUUUUAAAAGGAAGGAAACACACCAAAAGUUCCUCACUCCAAGCUCCCUGGUGUGUCCAAUUAUUUAAGUUCCUCCUAGAAUGCAGCUGCCUUCUGGGCAAAGGCCACCUGUGUUUUGUCACAUUUUAGGUUUUUGAUUCCUGUUCAUCAGCAAGAAGCUUAUCCAAGCUUUUUUUAGGAACCUCCAUGUGGAUUGAGGGCUGUGUGACCUUUAACUUCAUCUUUCCAUGACAAUAAGCACCACAAAAGUCAACGACUGGAGUACAUUUGUGACAGUAUUUGCAGAAACAAAUCCAGAAAAUCCUUCUGGGGUUCUUAGUAACCUUCCAAACGCUGAAUAAUAAAUAAGCCCUUUGAAGUGA